ACGAAUGCUGGCGGCGUGCCUAAGGUAUGCAAGUUGUGCGGUCGCCGAGAGGCGACAGCGGCAGACGGCUUAGUAACACGUAGGAAUCUACCCUAAAGACGAGAAUAGCUUGCCGAAAGGUGAGGUAAUACUCGAUGGUCCCCGCAAGGGGUAAAGCAGCAAUGCGCUUUAGGAUGAGCCUGCGGCCUAUCAGGUAGUUGGCGGGGUAAAUGCCCACCAAGCCUACGACGGGUAGCUGGUCUCACGAGGAUGAUCAGCAAGAGGGGGACUGCGACACGGCCCCCACACCUACGGGUGGCAGCAAUCGGGAAUCUUGCACAAUGGACGAAAGUCUGAUGCAGCGACGCCGCGUGCGGGAUGAAGGCCUUCGGGUUGUAAACCGACGCUAAAAAGGAUCGGCUAACUACGU
RNAcentral lists this ribosomal RNA (409 nucleotides) under uncultured bacterium. Its description in RNAcentral is "bacterial SSU rRNA". It matches the Rfam family "Bacterial small subunit ribosomal RNA", at positions 29 to 506 of the family's 1533-position model. The record is from RNAcentral.